UAAAUGGGCAAAACAGUCGAAAGGCUGCGACGCAAAGCUAGAGGACCUGUAAAAUGGUAGCCAGUUGC
Molecule: non-coding RNA, 68 nt
Filed under: uncultured Acetatifactor sp.
Lineage: Bacteria; Bacillati; Bacillota; Clostridia; Lachnospirales; Lachnospiraceae
Description: Cyclic di-GMP-I riboswitch
Rfam family: c-di-GMP-I riboswitch aptamer
About the family: GEMM was predicted in a large-scale screen for bacterial structured RNA regulatory elements.
Source: RNAcentral